This 261-nucleotide ribosomal RNA is filed under the name uncultured bacterium. RNAcentral describes it as "partial 16S ribosomal RNA". It matches the Rfam family "Bacterial small subunit ribosomal RNA", at positions 92 to 354 of the family's 1533-position model. The record is from RNAcentral.
CGACCGGCGCACGGGUGAGUAACACGUAUGCAACCUGCCCUCUUCAGGGGGACAACCUUCCGAAAGGGAGGCUGAUCCCGCGUAUAUCGGUUUCGGGCAUCCGAGAUCGAGGAAAGAUUCAUCGGAAGAGGAUGGGCAUGCGGCGCAUUAGCUAGACGGCGGGGUAACGGCCCACCGUGGCGACGAUGCGUAGGGGUUCUGAGAGGAAGGUCCCCCACACUGGUACUGAGACACGGACCAGACUCCUACGGGAGGCAGCAG